Molecule: long non-coding RNA, 685 nt
Filed under: Lepisosteus oculatus (spotted gar)
Lineage: Eukaryota; Metazoa; Chordata; Actinopteri; Semionotiformes; Lepisosteidae
Description: lncRNA (ENSLOCG00000021794.1)
Source: RNAcentral
CCCCCCCUCUCCAAACUCCACCUCCCCCCUGGGCGGAGCUGUUCCAGAGCUCCAGAGCUGGCUGUCGUCCUGUCCAGACCGCGCGGGGCUAUGGACCGGGACAGAGCCAGCCCGGAGCGGCCGGCGCUCGCUCCGGAUGAGUACGAGACCGUGAGCUCCACGCAGCAGGAUGGGGAGACCAUGGGCGAGCAGGACUGCAGGGGGUGCGCUCUUCCUAGGCGUCGCCGGGCUGUCCCUGUCCUCUCGGCUCUGCUCUCCCUCUCUCUGGCCGCCAAUGUCGCCCUGUGCGUCUACGUGUUCUGGCCUGGACUACUUCAAGGCUCUCUGAUCUCCAGCCCGGCUGCCACUGCAUCGUGCCCGACAGCAGACGGUCAGACCUCCAAACCCACCAGCGCUCCCUCCAGCACGACAGCAGGUGAGCAGAGAUCUGCAGGGGGGUCACCUGUUCCUGUGCAGCAGGGCGUUUGUGAAACUGGGGAAUGAAACCGUCUCUUUCUGGCAGGGAUGGCCACCUCUGGGACAACCCUGACUCCAACGAGCACUACAGCAGGUAGAAACCGAGCUAGCAGGCCGGGAUCUGUAGUCCCCAGGUUGGGUGUGACAGGGGUGAUGGUAUGAAAGAGGUUUUGGGAUGUUCCUUAUUGAUGCUGUACUUAGUAAUUGGCAGAACUGACUCUAUAUGAGC